RNAcentral lists this ribosomal RNA (468 nucleotides) under uncultured bacterium. RNAcentral's name for it is "partial 16S ribosomal RNA". It matches the Rfam family "Bacterial small subunit ribosomal RNA", at positions 28 to 507 of the family's 1533-position model. The record is from RNAcentral.
GACGAACGCUGGCGGCGUGCUUAACACAUGCAAGUCGAACGGAAAGGCCCUGCGCUUGUGGGGUUCUCGAGUGGCGAACGGGUGAGUAACACGUGAGUAACCUGCCCUUGACUUUGGGAUAACUUCAGGAAACUGGGGCUAAUACCGGAGAGGAGCUCCUGCUGCAUGGUGGGCGUUGGAAAGUUUCGGCGUUGGGGGAUGGACUCGCGGCUUAUCAGCUUGUUGGUCGGGUAGUGGCUUCCAAAGGCUUUGACGGGUAGCCGGCAUGAGAGGGUGACCGGGCACAUUGGGACUGCGGUACGGACCAGAAUCCUACGGGCCGCAGCAGUGGGGAAUCUUGCACAACGGGCCGAAGCCUGAUGCAGCAACGCUGCGUGCGUGAUGCCGGCUUACGGGUUGUAAACAGCUUUCGCAUGUGCCGAAGCGUGAGUGACGGUAAUGGGUAAAAAAGCACCGGCUAACUACGUG